Non-coding RNA from Schistosoma rodhaini, 46 nucleotides. The record is from Rfam. NCBI's taxonomy places the organism in Eukaryota, Metazoa, Platyhelminthes, Trematoda, Strigeidida, Schistosomatidae.
GCAUUGCUGAGGAAUCCGACAAUAGGAUGAAACGGCCGUCCAGUGC